Molecule: unclassified non-coding RNA, 337 nt
Filed under: soil metagenome
Description: partial contains 5.8S ribosomal RNA, internal transcribed spacer 2, and large subunit ribosomal RNA
Rfam family: 5.8S ribosomal RNA (bases 1-120)
Source: RNAcentral
GAUGAAGAACGCAGCGAAAUGCGAUAAGUAGCGUGAAUUGCAGAAUUCAGUGAAUCAUCGAAUCUUUGAACGCACAUUGCGCCCCUUGGUAUUCCAUGGGGCAUGCCUGUUCGAGCGUCAUUUGUACCUUCAAGCUCUGCUUGGUGUUGGGUGUUUGUCUCGCCUCUGCGCGUAGACUCGCCUCAAAACAAUUGGCAGCCGGCGUAUUGAUUUCGGAGCGCAGUACAUCUCGCGCUUUGCACUCAUAACGACGACGUCCAAAAGUACAUUUUUACACUCUUGACCUCGGAUCAGGUAGGGAUACCCGCUGAACUUAAGCAUAUCAAUAAGCGGAGGA